UAUCGACAGCCUGACGAUCUCGAGAC
RNAcentral lists this small RNA (26 nucleotides) under Bombyx mori (domestic silkworm). RNAcentral's name for it is "ovarian small RNA-23644". Lineage: Eukaryota; Metazoa; Arthropoda; Insecta; Lepidoptera; Bombycidae. The record is from RNAcentral.